CACUUCACCUUCACUGUUGUAUCAAUGCUCUUUUAUUUUAAAAUGCACUUAUGUAGAUCCUUAACCUGUCUAUAGCCUUCCAUGAAACUACAGUGUGACCGUCCUUUCCCUAACCAAGAAACACAGUGCAAUUCUGCUUCCUACUAUUUGAGGCAACAAAGCCCAGAAUAACAUAGGGAAAUUAUACAUUAACUCAUAAAAAGAGAAGCAAUGGUCUCUAAUUGUUUUUAUGCCACAGAAUGUAUUUAAUCCAGAGUUGGUGUUACUUUUGAUGGGAGAUCAUUGCUCUUCAGAUGAUGAAACACUAGCCAAACACUGGGCAUUUAGCAAAUGCCAUAUUUGAGCUUGAUUUCUAGGUUUCGAAACUGGCACAGAAGGGUCAGAUAGAAUGCCUGCUGAAGCCUCUACACUGAUGUCCCCAGACAGAUGUAAGUUACUUGAUAAUGCCAAAUUGGUUGCAGAUAUUGUCACUGGCCUUCUUCGAGUCAACAGCCUUGGGAAGAUGUUGGGUUAUAAUGGAUUUCAUAUCCAUGGCUUACAAUUCUUAGAGGAGAUAUAAAAGUUUAAAUAGGAGAAGCUCUUAGGGGAGUAUAAGGUCUUGGUAAUUGUGGUGUUACCUAUAAUGGCUCUAAAUGUGGAGCCAAGGUAUUGAUUCCAGUGUGGAUUUUCAGCCCAAGUGACUAAUGCUAUACUGCAAUUUGGAGCUAACAGAGCAACCCAUUAGUUAGUGGUUCACGUCCUAUGUGAAUUAGAAAUCGUUGCUGUUUGAUGGUCACCACAAUUCAACCAUUCCCUGUAAAUUUUCCAUCUGUGAUGGGACAAAAGUUUGAAUCUAGUCUGUUUGGGGGGAGGGGGGACUCACUUGUUCAAUUAAGCAGCCAAAUUAUAGAUUGAAGGAGCCAUUGAAAUAUUGUUCUCAAAAGCUGAAGCACUUAGGCAGAUGAAAUGGCAUAUAUAGUGAACUUUGUUUCUUGCAGAAGUAUUUCUAUAUUCAAAUAGGGAAAAAGUUAGGUGUAGGAAAGCUCUUAUAGUGAGUAGGUGGCCCCAGGUUAUUUAUGGCAUUUGGAAAGUAGACUUGCACACCUCUAUUUGUGAGGUCAAAGUAUGAAUUCUAUUCAUGCAAGCGUUUGCUUCUGCAGGCUGUUCAUAAUUUCUCCAAUAAAUCUCGAGGUGCAGAAUUUGCAGUUGCUUAAUGAAGGAAGGGGAAAGAGCAAAUGAGAAUUCUCUCUGAAGUAGACAAUGCCUUCUUGCGCCAAACUGGAACAAACAGUCAGGCUCAGACUACUCAUACCAUUGUGGCGUCUUUACUUCCCUUCUGCUAUUUUCAUGACAGUAUGAAAUCAGAAUCCCUGUUUCUCCAGAGUUCAGCUGCUCCUGCUGCUUUAGGGCUUGUUUCUCCACUUCUCUGCUUGGGCUGUCUAGCGAGCUGCUGUGUGGCAUGAUGCAACCCUUCAGAAAUUUCUGUCAUGGGUCUGGAACCUGGGUGUGGGGGUGAUGGACUGGAGGGGAGUCUGUAGCAGACCCUGGAGCCAAGUGUUUGUUCAAAUUUUUUGGCAAGACUCUUUUGAGCCAACCAUCAACUUGUUUGCCAGAAUUACAGCUGUUCUAUUGCAUGAAAGCAGCUAAACUAUGUCACUCGACUUCUCCUGAAGUUGCUUUUUCACAGAUAUACCAACUGUGGAUGUGAUGGCUAAAGAAUCGGAUUAGACCACCAGGAACUAAUUCAUCCUACAGAUUACCACCUUUCCAAAUCUAGCACUUAUUGUAUUAAAGAAGCUGUGUACAUCACCACCCAGUUCAAUUCUUGUAUGGACAAAUUUUGGUCCUUUUGUAGGUCGAUACAUACUAUGGAAUCUUUGCCUUCCUGAUCUGAAGUUACAGGGUACCAGAAUGUUGGGCAAACUUUGAAUGAAGGCUUGGAUGAAGGUGCAUAGGAUGAGACGCUGCGGAAAAUCUUAACUCCCUACCCUGCCUCUUACCCUGUUGCUAGGGAGUUCAAUGCUGCCCUAGCUAAGCAAAAUCUUAGCACUUCUCAUGGGUUUAAACCCUAAAAUCCAAAAAAGGGAACAGUCCCUUGCUCAAGGUUGCACAGAGAUCAGCUCUCUUUUUUGCGCUACACUGCCUCUCUCUAGCACUUAUGGACUGAAGCGCUUCACUCUUUUUCAAAGCACUCAAACUUACCUUUUCUUAUGCUAAAUUACAUUAACUUAACUUUGUGCAAAUGAACUAGCUAGCUUAAGUAUAUACAGGACAGCAGCUCUGCAGAUGGAAGCCCAUGUCUGGAUUUAACCCAGGAAUCCUUCGUUCUUCAAUGGUUUGGGGUCACAUGGAUUCUUUCAGGUGACUCCAAAGCUUUUAAGUUCUCAAUAUGCUGUAUUUGUUACCUUCAUUUCCUUUUUCUGCAGCUUGUAUUUUGGGUGGAUCGGUAGAUUAAAAACAACAGAAACUAAAUUAUAGUUUCCUUCAUAGUGUGCCACCAAGCAUCACAAAAGAGAAUAUCAGAAAUAUGAAGGGCAUAUCUUGCUAGUUUCAUAUUAAAAUAUACUGUAUUUAGAAUAAAAAGCUGAGGGAAGAGAAGUGUACUUACUACAUGUUUUUUUACUGUGAGAUUUAUCUAACAAAAGUAUAUCCCAGCAAUUUGACAUGAGUGGAAUUGCUAUUUUUUAUUAAUGGGGAAUCUGAGCAGUUACUACAUGGUGAUGUAGAGCAAUGCCAUUCUUUUUUCUCUCCAGUUCCUGAGGAAUCAAAAGAAAUAAAUCUCUAAUUGUUGUGAUUGAUCGGAAGAGCUUUCUCUGGAAGUCUGCAGAGAAUCUGGUAUUUGAAGAAGUGUCACUAGUCCUUUUGAUGCAAUGGAAAAUGAUGAUCGAUUUCAUUUGUUCUUGUUCUUUCUCUGAAGGAUUCCAUUGCUGUGGGCCUUUGCCAGAUGUACUAAAGAAGUCACUUUUUCAGCAAUACUUUAAUGAAGCACUGUUACCUCUGCUUCGUGCCUCUGCUUUUCCCUUUGGAAAAUAUUAGCUUUGUAGGAUUUCUUCUUGAAUUGGGAAAGAGCAUAGGACCAGAGGGUUGAAAGAAAAGAUGUGAGAUGGGAUUCCUUGAUUGAUGCCAUUGACUUUACCAAGUGAUCUUUAAGGGAUGCCACUUCUUCUCUGCAGAACAGCAGGAGAUAUCUAUCUUUAUCUAUCUAUCUAUCUAUCUAUCUAUCUAUCUAUCUAUCAUAGAUAUAUAUAUAGAUAGAUAUAUAGCAUAUUGAUCAGCUUGUGAGUUAAGGAGCUAAGGCCCCCCACUAGAGAUUGGUGAAGAGGUACAGAAAAGGGAAAUGACUUUUAAAGGAAAAGAAAUAAUCAGGUACCGAUCUCUUUCCCCAUCUAGUUCAUUCCUUAAUACAAAGAACAUCUGACAUUAUUCCUCUUCUAACGUUAGUUGAAAUACAGUUGCUUUUCUUCCUGGAUCUCUAUUGUUCCUCCCCAGCCAGCACUUAGGUAUGCAAACACCACUGCUAUCAUUACCCACUCUGGCAACAAGGUCAAUUUGACAAUCAGGACAGUGUAGAUGAACCCAUUUUCUUAACAGAUUCAGAAGGACUGUGCCUACAGCCUCCUCAGUCCAACAGACCUGACGUACCUAAACCAUGAAAAUCCAAUUCACACUGGCAACAGCAUGCUUUACUAAUUUAAUGAGGCUGUGCUUUCUAGAGAGCCAAGUUACUGAUAUAUGACACACACAGGUAUAACACUGGCUGUGAUAAAGGACUAGGGGAUUGAGAAACUCAGUGUUACCUUUUGUCCAAAGGAUGGAACUUUCAUGUUUGCUUUCUAAAGUGUUUAAGUGUACAGUAUCUACUCAUGCUUAGAAAGCAAAGCGGGUCUUGAACUGGUCUUGCAGUAUACAGGAGGCAAUUCUAGCUAGUAUCCUGUUACAACUCUUGUCUUCCAGCCCCUUGCCUCUCUGCUUCUGGAAGUAUAAAAAGAAGUAGAACAUGAGUUCGAAUUCAGUUGCAGUGGCCACAUCACUGGUUUUAUGUCACGCAUAAAACAGAGUUAUGUGUUCUGUUAUUGUUUUAGAAUGAAUUGUGGUUGGAAGCUGAAAAGAGGGAAGUGUAUAGAAGUGAGAUUUCAGGUUAGCAGUGUCAUACUCUCAGACCGUUAUAUCUGGCACUAUUCUAUAAAAACAGAGUAGGAAGAUAGUUGUGCAGUUUGUUUUAAAAUCAAUAAGCAGGCUUGAGUUUUGUUUCUGGGACUGAAAUCAGAAUGUUUGAAUUGAAAAAGGAAUUUGACAAUAACAUGCAGAUGACUGUUAAUCUGUGAUAGGAAAAGCAUGAAUCAAUGUGAUAAUCCUCACUGCUGUGGCAUAUUACCUCACUCAGCUAUCUAAUAUCUAGCAGAUAUUAUUACACAAAAUAUCCAUUCAGAGAGGACCGUCGCAACAAAUGUUCCACAAAAAUGCUCUUUCCUAGAACCCAGUUUGAAAUCUGCCAAGACCAGCCAGGGUUUAUUUUGCUGUUAUGUUAUCAGAUACUUAAUUUUAAUCUUGCUUUAAGAAGUUGUUCUUAGUUGAACUGCUAUGGCACAGGGCCACAUACUUUGCACUACACAACUCUUCCCUGUUGCGAGACGCAGAGGGGGGGAAGUGUACGACAAAACUAUGUUUCAUUAAAUAUAAUUUCCUGUUGGUGGCUUUGCUCAGCUGUAGGGGGUUGAGGGAUAUAUACACAUCAUUGUGGAAAACUGAGAUGAUCAUGGUCAAAUUGGAUCCCUAGGAGUUGGGCUUCUUCCAAUGGGACAUCUCCAAAUGUCUAUUUUUGAAUGCAGUGUAGUUUUCCAAAAAACAGUUCAUUGCUGUGACUUGCUUGCAUAGUCAGUAGAGAAACAGGACACAUUUUAAAAACUUGUUAUAACAGCAGACAUUCAAAAUGAUUAGCUGAAAAUAGCUGAAGUUUAGGGUUAACACAGAAUAUGCGAUUAAUUGUAUUGGGAUGGAAUCACUGUAUUGGGAUAUGCGUACAAGUAGCUCAUUAGAUGCAUUUGUACAUCACAGAGACUAUGGUCAGAAGGGAUUGUUGAGGGAAUGGCUGAUAACUGGAGAACAUUUUUUUCAUAAUCUAUUAUUUUUUUACCAAGGCCAGUUCAUUGUGUUUUGGUUAAUGCGUUCCUCAUUAAUAUAGAGCAGACACAGGGACCCCAGGGCCCUCCACAUAUAGUUGGACUCCUGGUUCUUAUAACCCAGCAAGCACGGUUAAUGGUCAAGGAUGAUGGGAGCUGUAGUCCAUCAACACCUGGAGGGCCAAAGGUUCCCCAUUCCUGAUAAUAGAGUAUCUGAAGAGUGAUGGAGAAUCUAUUCCUAAAUCUCACAUGUGGAGAUAAAAGUCCCAGUAGAACAAAUGCCAUUAAGGAUUGUUUUGAGAGGCGUGCAACCUGAUCCCAUGAAUGCUUAUUCAGAAAUAAGCCCUGCUAUGUUCAGCAAUGCUUACCUUGGGGUAAGUGCGCUUAGGACUGCAAUGAUACAGUCCAUUUUACUGUUCUUUUCCUGUUAAACACUAAUGCAGCCUACCCAUUAAGUACGGUACACAAAAUAGAUGGGCAGGUCUCACCUGAAACGUGGAUGUUUUCUUUCUGGGAUUUGGGUGGUUUGAUUCCCCACCCUACCCAUCUACUGCCCAAUGGUGCUAAACUAGAAAGAUAAUUCCAAUUCACCUGCUACUAGUGGCUCCUUUGAUGGGAUAGUAUUUUGCUUUGGGUAAUUUGACUCACAAAAGGCAAACAGGCAUGGCUAUUUUUGGAUGUAUGCAUGUAAAUAUCAGUCCUACAAGUAUAUUAUUAUUAUUAACUUUUUUGUUGAUGUUACUGUGCAUAAAUGUCAUAGGGGUGUAUGAGUGAGUGUGAGCGCGAGUGUGAGCAUGUGAGCGCAUGUGCCUGUGGGUAUGAAAUGAAGAAAUGAGUUUGAGGAUGACAAGUGACACAGGCAAAGUAUUUUUUAAAUCACAUGACCAAAAGGCCAUUCACUGGUUAAGAUUGUUUUUGUUUGUUUGUUUUGAUCACAUGACCAAACACAGCACUUG
Podarcis lilfordi (Lilford's wall lizard) is the source of this 6055-nucleotide non-coding RNA. The record is from the annotation of a GenBank genome assembly. NCBI's taxonomy places the organism in Eukaryota, Metazoa, Chordata, Lepidosauria, Squamata, Lacertidae.